Molecule: ribosomal RNA, 485 nt
Filed under: Botryosphaeria dothidea
Lineage: Eukaryota; Fungi; Ascomycota; Dothideomycetes; Botryosphaeriales; Botryosphaeriaceae
Description: eukaryotic LSU rRNA
Rfam family: 5.8S ribosomal RNA (bases 125-278)
Source: RNAcentral
UUGCUUUGGCGGGCCGCGGUCCUCCGCGGCCGCCCCCCUCCCCGGGGGGUGGCCAGCGCCCGCCAGAGGACCAUCAAACUCCAGUCAGUAAACGAUGCAGUCUGAAAAACAUUUAAUAAACUAAAACUUUCAACAACGGAUCUCUUGGUUCUGGCAUCGAUGAAGAACGCAGCGAAAUGCGAUAAGUAAUGUGAAUUGCAGAAUUCAGUGAAUCAUCGAAUCUUUGAACGCACAUUGCGCCCUUUGGUAUUCCGAAGGGCAUGCCUGUUCGAGCGUCAUUACAACCCUCAAGCUCUGCUUGGUAUUGGGCACCGUCCUUUGCGGGCGCGCCUCAAAGACCUCGGCGGUGGCGUCUUGCCUCAAGCGUAGUAGAACAUACAUCUCGCUUCGGAGCGCAGGGCGUCGCCCGCCGGACGAACCUUCUGAACUUUUCUCAAGGUUGACCUCGGAUCAGGUAGGGAUACCCGCUGAACUUAAGCAUAUCA